RNAcentral lists this long non-coding RNA (428 nucleotides) under Gallus gallus (chicken). RNAcentral describes it as "lncRNA (ENSGALG00010002131.1)". Lineage: Eukaryota; Metazoa; Chordata; Aves; Galliformes; Phasianidae. The record is from RNAcentral.
UUUCUUUAUUCAAAAGGACAGCUAGAACUGUAAUUAGGUACAGCUAGUCUUCAUUAUUUAGCUCAUUUAUUAUUUAUUGAUGUCUUUUCCCACAGUGCCUGUGAAUCUCACAUCUCGUGCUGACAGAGACGGGAGUCGGAGUGCUCUGUUUGCUUCCACAUGCUCCAGAAUCAAAGAUGGGCUGCCCAAGCCAUGUGGAGAGUGACUGCUGGGCAAGAGAGGAGCCUGCUGGCAGUGGCAGGAGGCACAGAGAGUGGCACUCAGUGGGCCCUUGCCAUUCAAGCGCUCUAAGAAAGCCACCACCCAAACUGGUGCUGCUGUGGGCCAGACCCACAGCAGACAGUGGGAACAGCAGCACAGUUAGAGUUUCGUAAGUUGAAAGGUCACAGGUAGCUGCUUCUGGAAAGAUAUUUGAGUACUAAACCUUC